RNAcentral lists this ribosomal RNA (1550 nucleotides) under Candidatus Hodgkinia cicadicola. RNAcentral describes it as "bacterial SSU rRNA". It matches the Rfam family "Bacterial small subunit ribosomal RNA". Lineage: Bacteria; Pseudomonadati; Pseudomonadota; Alphaproteobacteria; Hyphomicrobiales. The record is from RNAcentral.
CGAGCUUGAUCCUGGCUCAGAACGAAUGCUGGCAACAGGCCUAACACAUGCAAGUCGAGCGGACAACCCCAACAGGUUGUUAGCGGCGAACGGGUGAGUAACACGUGAGAAUCUGCCUUGUUCAACGGAAUAGCUUAAGGAAACUUGAGGUAAUACCGUAUGACUCCUGCAUCAGGUAAAUGAAUACUUCGGAACAAGAUGAGCUUACGCUAGAUUAGCUAGUUGGUGGGGUAAAGGCCUAUCCAAGGCAAUGAUCUAUAGCUGGUCUGGGAGGACGAACAGCCACAUUGGGACUGAGACAAGGCCCAACCCUCUUAGGAGGGCAGCAGUGGGGAAUAUUGGACAAUGGGCGAAAGCCUGAUCCAGCCAUGUUGCAUGAGUGACCGAAGGUCUAUGGACUGUAAAACUCUUAAGCUAAUAAUUAAUAAAUGAUGAUGUUAGUGAAUAGCUCCGGCCAACUUCGUGCCAGCAGCCGCGGUAAUACGAGGGGAGCGAGUGUUGUUCGGUUUUAUUGGGCGUAAAGGGCUAUUAGGUGGCUCAAUAAGUCGAUAGUUAAAUCUUGGAACUUAAUUCCAUCUAUGUUAUCGAUACUAUUGAACUAGAGUAUGUAAAAGGGACGAACGGAAUUCCAAGUGUAGAGGUGAAAUUCGUUGAUACUUGGAGGAACACCAGAGGCGAAAGCGGUUCGUCAUAACAAAACUGACACUGAAAUAGCGAAAGCAUGGGGAGCAAACAGGAUUAGAUACCCUGGUAGUCCAUGCCCUAAACGAUGAAUGCUAAUAGUUGGGAAUACUUCAUCGAUUAAUCGAAUUGGAUAACAACUCGAACAAUCGAAUAUAAGUUUAUUUCUGAUCAUAAAGCUAACGCGUUAAGCAUUCCGCCUGGGGAUUACGACCGCAAGGUUAAAACUCAAAGGAAUUGACGGAGACCCGCACAAGCGGUGGAGCAUGUGGUUUAAUUCGAAGCUACACGAAGAACCUUACCAGCCCUUGACAUACCAUGGCUAAACAUGUUGGAAACAACAUGCCAUCUUACAAACAGUAAGAAUACCAGGAACAGGUGCUGCAUGGCUGUUGUCAGCUCGUGUCGUGAGAUGUAUGGUUAAGUCCUAAAACGAGCAUAACCCUUUCCCAUAGUUACCGAACAUCAAAACCUAUACAUUAGGAUUGAUCUAUCUCUAUGGGUACUGCUAACGUAAGUUAGAGGAAGGUGAGGAUCACAACAAGUCAUCAUGGCCCUUAUGGGCUGGGCUACACACGUGCUACAAUGGUGGUUACAAAGAGUCGCAACGUUGUAAAGCAGAGCUAAUCUCAAAAGACCAUCUCAGUUCGGAUUGUACUCUGCAACUCGAGUACAUGAAGUAGGAAUCGCUAGUAAUCGUGGAUCAGCAUGCCACGGUGAAUACGUUCUCGGGUCUUGUACACACCGCCCGUCACACCAUGGAGAUUAUUCAUGCCAAAAGUUUGUAAAUGACAAGCGAAGGUAGGGGAUGGUUACCGAGGUGAAGUCGUAACAAGGUAGCCGUAGGUGAACCUGUGGCUGAAACAUAA